Molecule: ribosomal RNA, 515 nt
Filed under: uncultured bacterium
Lineage: Bacteria
Description: partial 16S ribosomal RNA
Rfam family: Bacterial small subunit ribosomal RNA
Source: RNAcentral
GAUGAACGCUGGCGGCGUGCCUAAUACAUGCAAGUCGAGCGAAUGGAUUAAGAGCUUGCUCUUAUGAAGUUAGCGGCGGACGGGUGAGUAACACGUGGGUAACCUGCCCAUAAGACUGGGAUAACUCCGGGAAACCGGGGCUAAUACCGGAUAACAUUUUGAACCGCAUGGUUCGAAAUUGAAAGGCGGCUUCGGCUGUCACUUAUGGAUGGACCCGCGUCGCAUUAGCUAGUUGGUGAGGUAACGGCUCACCAAGGCAACGAUGCGUAGCCGACCGGAAAGGGUGAUCGGCCACACUGGGACUGAGACACGGCCCAGACUCCUACGGGAGGCAGCAGUAGAGAAUCUUCCGCAAUGGACGAAAGUCUGACGGAGCAACGCCGCGUGAGUGAUGAAGGCUUUCGGGUCGUAAAACUCUGUUGUUAGGGAAGAACAAGUGCUAGUUGAAUAAGCUGGCACCUUGACGGUACCUAACCAGAAAGCCACGGCUAACUACGUGCCAGCCGCCGCCGUAA